Molecule: ribosomal RNA, 546 nt
Filed under: uncultured bacterium
Lineage: Bacteria
Description: bacterial SSU rRNA
Rfam family: Bacterial small subunit ribosomal RNA
Source: RNAcentral
AAUAGAUACCCUGGUAGUCCACCCCGUAAACGUUGGGAACUAGUUGUGGGGUCCAUUCCACGGAUUCCGUGACGAAGCUAACGCAUUAAGUUCCCCGCCUGGGGAGUACGGCCGCAAGGCUAAAACUCAAAGGAAUUGACGGGGACCCGCACAAGCGGCGGAGCAUGCGGAUUAAUUCGAUGCAACGCGAAGAACCUUACCAAGGCUUGACAUACACGAGAACGCCCUAGAAAUAGGGAACUCUUUGGACACUCGUGAACAGGUGGUGCAUGGUUGUCGUCAGCUCGUGUCGUGAGAUGUUGGGUUAAGUCCCGCAACGAGCGCAACCCUCGUUCUAUGUUGCCAGCACGUAAUGGUGGGAACUCAUGGGAUACUGCCGGGGUCAACUCGGAGGAAGGUGGGGAUGACGUCAAAUCAUCAUGCCCCUUAUGUCUUGGGCUUCACGCAUGCUACAAUGGCCGGUACAAAGGGCUGCAAUACCGUAAGGUGGAGCGAAUCCCAAAAGCCGGUCCCAGUUCGGAUUGAGGUCUGCAACUCGACCUCAUG